Long non-coding RNA from Triticum dicoccoides, 752 nucleotides. RefSeq lists it as uncharacterized. The record is from RefSeq and is a predicted model, not a curated record. NCBI's taxonomy places the organism in Eukaryota, Viridiplantae, Streptophyta, Magnoliopsida, Poales, Poaceae. The transcript is spliced from 4 exons.
GCCGCUUCCAACAUCAGGCGCAACCGCCCUUCCGCCGCCGCCCUAGCCCGGCGCGGCGCGGCGAUGCCGCCCCGCGCCACCAGGAGGCCAGGACCGACACGCCGGCGCCUCCUCGUAUGACCACGCCACGACUAAUGCAUGCUUGUCCAUCGACCCCAGCCGUCCAGGGGACGCCAUCGCCGCCGCCUAGUCUCCGGCAUCCAGCCGGUGCAGGUCCAGCUACUCCAGCCGUCCCUCGGGCCUCCCUCCGCUCCACACUCCAGACGGGACGACCAGCCAACCAGGACGACCGACAGUCGCCUCCCUCUGCUCCUGACCAGGAGUCCAGGACACUGUUUGAUGCGAAGAUAUGCUUCUAACAUCUUUCAGAGAUACUUGUUUUGUUGAAAUUGUUCCACCGUAUCAGGCUCCACGGAGAGAGCAUUGGCCAAGUUUCUGGUUUGAAGUUCACUACAACUCACUAUACGAUGCUCCAGAUCUCCCGAGCAAAUACAGGCCUAGAAAGAAGCUUGUUUUAGAUUCACAUGUUGCUUCAGGCUUGAAUUUUAUCACAUGGCCUUGUCGAUAUUGCUGGCCGGCCACAUCCUGGAGAGCGGACAUCUACCUCUGAUUUUCCCCACUGGAGAUCUGAGGCAUUGGAUUAUUGGAUGCGUUCCUUGGUACAGUCAUGUAAUCAGAUGUAGUUCGAUACUGAAACCGAGGUUGCUUCCUUGUGCAUAGAUAUUUAUAAUAACAGAUAAGUUGGUUGUAUA